Molecule: ribosomal RNA, 393 nt
Filed under: uncultured bacterium
Lineage: Bacteria
Description: partial 16S ribosomal RNA
Rfam family: Bacterial small subunit ribosomal RNA
Source: RNAcentral
CUACGGAGGAUGCAAGCGUUAUCCGGAUUUAUUGGGUUUAAAGGGUGCGUAGGCGGUUUGCUAAGCGGGAGGUGAAAUGCCGGCGCUCAACGUCGGAAGUGCCUCCCGAACUGGUGGACUUGAAUGACUCUGCCGUGGGAGGAAUGUGUAGUGUAGCGGUGAAAUGCUUAGAGAUUACACAGAACACCGAUUGCGAAGGCAUCUCACGAAGGGUUGAUUGACGCUGAGGCACGAAAGCGUGGGGAUCAAACAGGAUUAGAUACCCUGGUAGUCCACGCAGUAAACGAUGAUGGCUAACCGCUGGGCUUAUCAGUUCAGUGGCCAAGCGAAAGCGAUAAGCCAUCCACCUGGGGAGUACGACCGCAAGGUUGAAACUCAAAGGAAUUGGCGGGG